This 277-nucleotide unclassified non-coding RNA is filed under the name Ixodes scapularis (black-legged tick). RNAcentral describes it as "putative zinc finger protein 702, transcript variant X3". Lineage: Eukaryota; Metazoa; Arthropoda; Arachnida; Ixodida; Ixodidae. The record is from RNAcentral.
UUUUUUGCGACAGCGUUUCUUGACACUGGGAUAACUGGUGCGGGCGUUGGGAUUUUUCUAAAGUGGAACAUUUUGCGUAGGGAAAGGGCAGGAAAAAUGUUUGAAAAUAUGUAGAAUGAGUGUAAUAAUUAAUGACUUGGAUCACAUGCUACAUUUCAGCUUAACUCCACAUGCAGCCGGCUCUCGGAGCUAAUGGGACUAAUCAAGCAGCGUCAAAAGCGCAAGUUGGAUCGAAGCAUACCAUAACGAUGAAGUGGAUAUCUUUGACCGUGACAGC